This 442-nucleotide ribosomal RNA is filed under the name uncultured bacterium. RNAcentral describes it as "partial 16S ribosomal RNA". It matches the Rfam family "Bacterial small subunit ribosomal RNA", at positions 338 to 795 of the family's 1533-position model. The record is from RNAcentral.
CCUACGGGAGGCAGCAGUAGGGAAUCUUUCACAAUGGGCGAAAGCCUGAUGGAGCAACGCCGCGUGCAGGAUGAAGGCCUUCGGGUUGUAAACUGCUUUUAUAAGCGAGAAAUAUGAUGGUAACUUAUGAAUAAGGAUCGGCUAACUACGUGCCAGCAGCCGCGGUCAUACGUAGGAUCCGAGCAUUAUCCGGAGUGACUGGGUGUAAAGAGUUGCGUAGGUGGCAUAAUAAGUAGCUAGUGAAAUCUGGUGGCUCAACAAUUCAGACUAUUAGCUAAACUGUUAAGCUCGAGACCGUUAGGGGUAACUGGAAUUUCUAGUGUAGGAGUGAAAUCCGUAGAUAUUAGAAGGAACACCAAUAGCGUAGGCAGGUUGCUGGGACGGUUCUGACACUAAGGCACGAAAGCGUAGGGAGCAAACGGGAUUAGAUACCCCAGUAGUC